Molecule: long non-coding RNA, 276 nt
Filed under: Lactuca sativa (garden lettuce)
Lineage: Eukaryota; Viridiplantae; Streptophyta; Magnoliopsida; Asterales; Asteraceae
Description: long non-coding RNA (LSAT_LNC006731)
Source: RNAcentral
UCUCGCACAAGAUGCAAUUUCUCUUAUGUCACCCUCUCUAAAACCCUGAAAAUCCAUAACCCCUAGUUCAUCACACAAUAUGCUUCCCACACAAAUUGGGAUACCUGAUAAAUUUGUAUUACCUGGGGCCUUUUCUUCCCAAUCCAGCAUUACCCUCCAUACCUCACUCCCUAUCAAAACCCCCCUUCGAAAUGAUUUUAAACGUAUUGAAAUCAGGAGAAAAAGACUAAAUUUUCCUCAUGCAUUCUUUCGAAAAUCCGAUUCGGUUCAGAAUAA